AGAGCGAACGCUGGCGGCAGGCCUAACACAUGCAAGUCGAAUGGACCCUUCGGGGUUAGUGGCGGACGGGUGAGUAACACGUGGGAACGUGCCUUUAGGUUCGGAAUAGCUCCUGGAAACGGGUGGUAAUGCCGAAUGUGCCCUUCGGGGGGAAAGAUUUAUCGCCUUUAGAGCGGCCCGCGUCUGAUUAGCUUGUUGGUGAGGUAAUGGCUCACCAAGGCUACGAUCAGUAGCUGGUCUGAGAGGAUGACCAGCCACAUUGGGACUGAGACACGGCCCAAACUCCUACGGGAGGCAGCAGUGGGGAAUCUUGCGCAAUGGGCGAAAGCCUGACGCAGCCAUGCCGCGUGUAUGAUGAAGGUCUUAGGAUUAGUAAAAUACUUUCACCGGUGAAGAUAAUGACUGUAGCCGGAGAAGAACGCCCGGACUAACUUCGUGACCAGCAGCCGC
This 450-nucleotide ribosomal RNA is filed under the name uncultured soil bacterium. Its description in RNAcentral is "bacterial SSU rRNA". It matches the Rfam family "Bacterial small subunit ribosomal RNA", at positions 26 to 518 of the family's 1533-position model. The record is from RNAcentral.